UACGGAGGGAGCUAGCGUUGCUCGGAAUUACUGGGCGUAAAGGGAGCGUAGGCGGACAGUUUAGUCAGAGGUGAAAGCCCAGGGCUCAACCUUGGAAUUGCCUUUGAUACUGGCUGUCUUGAGUACGGGAGAGGUGUGUGGAACUCCGAGUGUAGAGGUGAAAUUCGUAGAUAUUCGGAAGAACACCAGUGGCGAAGGCGACACACUGGCCCGUUACUGACGCUGAGGCUCGAAAGCGUGGGGAGCAAACAGG
RNAcentral lists this ribosomal RNA (253 nucleotides) under uncultured bacterium. RNAcentral describes it as "partial 16S ribosomal RNA". It matches the Rfam family "Bacterial small subunit ribosomal RNA", at positions 524 to 776 of the family's 1533-position model. The record is from RNAcentral.